GAUACGUGUAGUGGUCAUCACGUCUGUCUAGCACAGAACGUCCCCAGUUCGAACCUGGGCGGAAAC
Molecule: transfer RNA, 66 nt
Filed under: Schistosoma mansoni
Lineage: Eukaryota; Metazoa; Platyhelminthes; Trematoda; Strigeidida; Schistosomatidae
Source: RNAcentral